RNAcentral lists this ribosomal RNA (451 nucleotides) under uncultured bacterium. Its description in RNAcentral is "partial 16S ribosomal RNA". It matches the Rfam family "Bacterial small subunit ribosomal RNA", at positions 354 to 796 of the family's 1533-position model. The record is from RNAcentral.
GUGGGGAAUAUUGGACAAUGGGGGGAACCCUGAUCCAGCCAUGCCGCGUGUGUGAAGAAGGCCUUUUGGUUGUAAAGCACUUUAAGCGAGGAGGAGGCUACCGAGAUUAAUACUCUUGGAUAGUGGACGUUACUCGCAGAAUAAGCACCGGCUAACUCUGUGCCAGCAGCCGCGGUAAUACAGAGGGUGCAAGCGUUAAUCGGAUUUACUGGGCGUAAAGCGCGCGUAGGUGGCCAAUUAAGUCAAAUGUGAAAUCCCCGAGCUUAACUUGGGAAUUUAAUUCGAGACUGGUUGGGUAGAGUAUGGGAGAGGAUGGUAUAAUUCCAGGUGUAGCGGUGAAAUGCGUAGAGAUCUGGAGGAAUACCGAUGGCGAAGGCAGCCAUCUGGCCUAAUACUGACACUGAGGUGCGAAAGCAUGGGGAGCAAACAGGAUUAGAUACCCCAGUAGUCC